GAGAAAAGAAAAUUUAAGUUAAUUCGUCAUAAAUUUUUUGAUCGAUCAAUCACAAAAUACUACCAACUAUAUAUUUAAAAAAAUAUAUUUUGUGAUGAUCAAGACAAUCUAUAUUAUAACCCAUAACUACUACCAACUGCUCUUAGAUAAGCAUAAAUAACUGCUAUGUUUCUGAUUGCCCAAAUUCCCAGCAACUUGCAUCUCAAGUAAGUAUGCACAAACUAUUUUGCACGCCAACCUUGCCAUCUGCCAAUGUUGCACUGAUCCAGCCCAAUAGUGCGUUGUUGCCCAGGGCAGUACACCGUUAAUUGACUGGCAGUCUGGAACCCAGCGCCCCACGCUGCCCAACUGAUUGUGCGUGCUGGGCACCAACAAACUGAAUUCGGAUGACCAAUUUAGUCACGCAAUGUGCCCAACCCAUGAUGCUCCAAGCCUGCCACGCUGCUUUUCCCAUACGCCGAACUAUUACACCAAGCCCAGCCUUAAUGUCUCUUGCUGUCGCUAACUGCCCAGCGUCCAAGGUUGCCACAUGUUCUAAUCAUGCGCCCCAACUGUUGUGCAUGUUGAGCACCAACCCAUGUUAUGCACUGGCAUGCUAGGCCGCUGCCUAUGCCAUGCCCCAACCGUUGCAAAGCCUUUACCUCACAAGCCAUGGUCUUUGAUGCCUAGUUCCUAGCUUAGGCUCAUUCGACGUAUGUGCAAACAAACAAAUAAUAGUCCCCAACAAUAUUGCCAUCGACGUAUGUGCAAGGCAUGGGCGCCGUUACAAAUAAUAGUAUCUGAUCGAUCCAAGCCACCAAUAUAUUUGCUAACAUUGUUGUUAGGGAUGCCAACAAUGCCCCAAAGCACCCACGCUCUAACCAUGGCAGCCUGCCCAUGGC
RNAcentral lists this long non-coding RNA (881 nucleotides) under Panax ginseng (ginseng). RNAcentral describes it as "long non-coding RNA (PGIN_LNC013871)". Lineage: Eukaryota; Viridiplantae; Streptophyta; Magnoliopsida; Apiales; Araliaceae. The record is from RNAcentral.